AGGCCAUGGAAAGGCACUACCAUUCCCUGUGACGCCUCGGAUAUGCAGCUCUUCUCUGCCUGCACGCAGAUUUCCAUCGGAAAUGGAGACUGUGCGAGGUUCUGGUCCGAAAGAUGGCUCCAAGGGACCGCUCCUGCUUUGAUCUCCCCGGGACUAUUCAUGCUUGCUCGCCUGGAGAACUUGACGGUCAAGGAGGCAAUGGAAGGGAAUCGCUGGAUGAAGGGCCUGCAACGUGUUGACAGUGAGGAGCUCCUGGACCAAUUCCUUUGUCUCUGGGAGCUGCUUCAGCCAGUCGAUCUGACGACGUCUCCAGACACGAUUUGGUGGUCGUUGACGUCGGAUGGAUGCUACUCGGCCGCCUCUGCUUAUGACAUCCAGUAUGCACCAAGAAUUAGCCAACCUCUCCUCCACACCACAUGGAAGAUUAAGGCUGAACCAAAAGUCAAAUUCUACCUCUGGUUUGCUACUUCAGAACAGGAACUGGACUGCUGA
Molecule: ribosomal RNA, 492 nt
Filed under: Triticum aestivum (bread wheat)
Lineage: Eukaryota; Viridiplantae; Streptophyta; Magnoliopsida; Poales; Poaceae
Description: partial small subunit ribosomal RNA
Source: RNAcentral